UAUCUGGUCCAGAGGGAUGCCUAGGUCCAUGCCCAGGUGGCUUCUGAAGAUCUUCUGGAGGAGAACUCAGUCACCUGUACAGUAACAAAGUGCUUCCUGAUGUUCCAAUGGAGCCUCCUGUGUUUCAGUUUUUGCCCAUUGGCUCUUGUACUGAGGCUGAGCACACUGAAAAGAGCCUGGCUACAUACUUUUUGCAGAAUGAACUCUUGGGAAGGAAAGAAAUCCUGGUCAGUGGGAAAUUCAGUAUGAUUUGUGAGAAACUUGUUUGUGCAAAGGAGGAUGUACCACAGUUUGUUUUCAGCUAGGAUAUGCUCAAGCCCUUGUGUAACUUCUUCCUCACAUAAGAAACCAUUCUGAUGUAAAAUGGAAAGGUUAGGAAACGAGUUUUGUUACAGUACUAAUGGAAUUCUUUACCAAACUCAAAAGGACAUGGAUCUCCAAGGAGAAGAUAAGACUAAAGUUCUUUUUACAGUGUAAGUCUUAAUAAGUCUCUUUAAAGAAUUACUUGUGUUUGAAAAGCCACUGAAAAGUCUGAAAGACUCCUUUUUGGAAAGAACACGAGGACUUGUUUACAGCAAGAUUCUGGUGCCCUUGUGAUAGCUAAAUGGUAAAUUUCCUUAAUCAGGACUUAAGGGCACAAGGGCAUAUAGUCUGGACAUAAGUGUGUAAACUACAUGUGUGAAUAGAGCAUCUGAUCUGUAAGCAGGAAAAAGGUUAAUUGAGAAUACAAUGUAGGCUGUAUUAAUUAAGCUUGGUUACUGUGUUAAGGUAUGAGUAGUUUAGUCUGGAUUAAUAUAAACAAUUGCCAUGUUUGAAAUGUUAAAAUUAUGCAGAAAAAAAUGAUGUGCAUGUUUUUUAACUAAAGGACUGUACUGAAUUACCCAUUAUCUGUAAUUAUCUAUAUGCUGCUACAGAUCCUCCCUAUAUUUAUUCACUUUUGCAUUUCUCAAUAUGCCACAAGUGUUGCGUAAAACCAUUAGGAUGAGGGAUGUACUCUGGCAAAGAUAGCUGAGGAGAAGGGAACAAGAAUUCAUUUUACUAUGAACACUUGGUAAUGUAGUUACCCACGUGUUGUUUUGCAAAUAUUAUAUGCUAGUGAGACUCUGUAUGUGAAGUGCCUCUCAAUCCACCUCCAUCCACUCUUUCUUUGCUUAUGCUUUCUGAAAUCUAGACAUUUUUUAGUGGUUUUUGAUGGUGUGAUUGUUUUAGCUGUCCACUGUGCCUUUUCUUUGAACUGUCCAGUAGCGCCUGCAGGGAAGUUGAUCUUCAGGCUCCUUCAUUAACACAUAGAUAAGUUAUUUCCAUUUUUUAUACGUAGUGACUUUGGAAAUAAGGUUUAGUGAUCUCACUGACAAAUCUAGUGUUUGUUGUCUCUUUAUUUCACACAAUAACUUCCCUGUCCCCAAAAAUUUGUAUUAGAAACACUCAAAACUUGUCUACCUUUCAUAAUUUUAUGUGAAACGUUUAACUGCAAAAAAUAGCAUGGCUUCUAACAUCUACAUUACAAAAUUGUGUUUCAGCCUGUGCAUACAACUACUGCUUUGGCAGACUGAGAUGUUUCCCAGGGAACUCUCAUAAAGCUUUGAAUGUUUCACACUUUCUGUCCUGCUGCAUUGUAGAAUAAAGAGAGGUAAUAACAGGUUUGGUUAUGGGGCUUACUGCAUGCUUAUACUUCUAAGUACUCAGCCAGUGUUUUCAUACUUUAACAUUAAGGCUAUCAUCUUGUUUACUAGACAGUUUUUUGGGCUUUGUUCAUACUGUUGCUGAAUACCACAUGCCCAUCUGGAGGUUUUUCUGUUGCUAUUUCAGAAGACUUCUUGCAACCACUGCAAUUAAACAAGGUUGUAAAAAGGAAAGCUGGAUUUUAUUAAAGUGCAUUUUGUCUUUGGUUCUGUUUUCUGUGACAUUGGUUUUCACUGCUGCUCUCCAUGCUCAUGGUGGUGGAGAUCUAGUAAUCAGCCUUUCCAUAAUCUUUAUCAGGAAGGCUUAUUCUUGCUGCAGACGUGACAGUGAACAUUCAACUAUUGGUACAAUGUUCUGUUUUAGUGAAAAUGCUGCGUACUGCUGAGAAUCACUGAAUUGUAUUGGUGGGAAGAAGCCUCUGGAUGUCGUUGGAACAACAUUGCUCAAAUGAGGACCAACUGGCGGCAGAAUACAUUCAACUAUCUUAAACAAAGCUCAGCCCCAGCUUUUUAAAAAUGUGGCUACUUGCUAUCAUACUGUUGGAGCAGCCUUAUGAAUACCAGCAAGAGCAGAGCUGCUGAAUGAGGUUGGGUUAGCCAGGAGCUGAGGUGACCACAGCACAACCUUAUGACACCUGAGCAGAAGAGUGAGGUAGUGAUAGCAGUAUAUGUCAACAGUCCAGUGAUCUCUAGGUGACAGUCAGAUAAUUAGUCAUGUUCAAGGCUAAUCUGGGAAAUUUAAACUGUGCAAGGUAAGGGUUGGGAAGAGGUACUCAUAUGGUCAGGACAGGGGCCAGGGGCUUGGUGAGGGAGGGCUGUGGUGGUCCUCCUGAAGCUUGGGCAGGCUGAGGGAGGUGCUAGAAGGGGAGCUAGGAGGGAGGGAAGGAGGGCUGAUGCUCUCAUAAGCUCUUGGUAAGUAUGAAUGUGGUGCGUUCGGGCAAUAAUGAGCAUCAGUGCUUGUAAUUCCUUAAUGUGGUUGCUUUUUAGGGGUGGGAGUAGGAGGGAGAGGGAGAAGUUACUUUGACAUAAUGCUUAAGGGCUGUCUGAUGCUUCUCGUUUUAAUGCGGCUUGCUUGGGUAUCAGUAUUUUGGCGGUUAUUUUGUGUGCUGUAAAGAUCAUUCCCUUCUCUCCCCCGUGCUGACAGCUCCUUCACCGGGAGAGCUGUCACCGGCACUCCGCGGCCUCCUGCCACCCUCGUCCCAGCACCGGGACGAGGCACC
Molecule: long non-coding RNA, 2902 nt
Organism: Centrocercus urophasianus (Greater sage-grouse)
Lineage: Eukaryota; Metazoa; Chordata; Aves; Galliformes; Phasianidae
Exons: 3
Source: RefSeq, a predicted model, not a curated record